Molecule: transfer RNA, 53 nt
Filed under: Chiropterargas confusus
Lineage: Eukaryota; Metazoa; Arthropoda; Arachnida; Ixodida; Argasidae
Description: Argas confusus tRNA-Val
Source: RNAcentral
GGAUGAAAUCAUUUGAUAUUUCUUUUACAAAGAAACUUUGCUUUAGCCAUUCU